AAAUAGCGAAAAAAAAAAAUGUGCAGAAACCAUCAACAAUGAUAGUCAGUGCGAACGAAAAGCCCAAGGCUUCAAGAAAGCUAUUCACUUUAUUAAAGGAAUGAGGCGCUUGAAAGCCUUUAUAUUUUGCAGUGAGGACAUUUAGGUAGUUUCCAUUGUUUCACUGCAUAAUUAUCGCAGCGAACAGAGCUGAUAACCAGCACAACUGCCGCUAGCGGUAGUAUACAGGUGAACGGCACGUGUGCCUCACAGACCCACGACAGCUGGCGUGGGGCAAACGUGCCUCACAACGCGAGCACCACUUGCGUCGGCGUCCUUGUUCCGACCGCCAACCACGCAAAUGGACGGGAGCCGUGAAUGUUGGCUAUGCAAACGAGUGCAUCCUGCCACGCACCGAACCACGACAGCCUGGUGCCAAUCACUGACUGCUAGAAACCACGACGCAACACAUUCCCCAACUUGUCACAGCGCAAUGGGCACGAGAGACGAACUAAUGCGUUCACGACCGAGCGCUUGUCGAGAGCGUUCAGUGUACGUGACUACGCACGCUCACCGUGCUAAAUGUCUGCGUGCAUUCUUUCCUGAACACCGUCCAGCCAUGGAAGCCAAUCUUGCCCCGCAAGUCAAUGAAGAUGACGAACCCAGGCCAAUCAUCAUCGCCAGCGCUAGACACGGGCUCGCCGCUCGUGCUGGGACUCUCUUCUGUUCUGCCACCACGUUUGCCGCUCUCAGUCAAUAAACCCGUUUGCACUUAC
This is a long non-coding RNA of Dermacentor andersoni, 755 nucleotides long. RefSeq lists it as uncharacterized. The record is from RefSeq and is a predicted model, not a curated record. Lineage: Eukaryota; Metazoa; Arthropoda; Arachnida; Ixodida; Ixodidae.